Dermochelys coriacea (leatherback sea turtle) is the source of this 5253-nucleotide RNA transcript. It is a transcript of the gene named SET and MYND domain containing 4, with no coding region annotated. The transcript is spliced from 13 exons. The record is from RefSeq and is a predicted model, not a curated record. Lineage: Eukaryota; Metazoa; Chordata; Testudines; Dermochelyidae.
AUGAUGCCCUGGCCGGUUGUCUGUGGGCGCCGCCAUUGGCCCUGCGUGGCUGAGUUCGAGUCCCACGGCUGCGGAGCGAGACUGAGAGAGCCCUGCCGGCGGGGGGUGGCUCUGUCCCGCCUGCGGGCCAUGGCUCUGCCUGUGGAGAAGUGGGAGGCGCACGCUCGUCGGAAGUGGGCCUCGCUGGAGCCCUGUCUGCAGGAGAAGCUCUCUCUGGCAGUGCCGCUUGGGGACACCUUCCUCCUCUGCUUGCCCCUCUUCCAACCCGCAGACGAAGAAUUUUUGCACAGACUGGCCGUCACUAACUGGGUGGGAAAGGAUCCGAGAGCUGCACUUUUCUACAAGGAGGAGGGGAACAAGAGAUUUCAGAAAAAGGAGUACACAGCUGCACGGAUACUCUAUUCCAAGGCGGUGUCCCACAACAGCCCAGAAAUGUCAUUGUGUUAUGCCAAUCGCUCUGCAGCCCUCUUUCACUUGGGUCAGUUUGAGGAUUGUCUGGAAGACAUUGACAGGGCUCAAGCCCAGGGCUAUCCAGACAGAUUGCAGCCUAAGAUCUUGCUGCGGAAAACUGAGUGUCUGCUUCUUCUGGGAAGAUUGCAGGAGGCAGCAGGGGUCAUCAGCAAGGUGGAGAGUAAAAUAGCUAUGGAUCAGAGUCUGAGUAGUACCACACGCCAGAUUUUGCUAAGAAAGGUCAGUCAACUUAAAGUGAAAGCACAUGAGAAGGAGAGUAGCCCACUAUCGGUGCCGGAAGCACUCGGCAAAACUCAAAAGGACUUGGAAUUCUGGGAAGAAAAUGGUAAAAUUUCAAGUGCAUCUUCAUCUGUGAACCUGAACUUUAACUCCUGCAAAGGGCGUCAUCUGGUUGCCACCAAAGAUAUUCUGCCAGGGGAGAACUUGGUGAAAGAGGAGGCCUUUGUAAGUGUGCUCAGCCCAGGGAAGAGCCUGUUGCUCCAGGACAGUCCUGAAACAACAUGGGAUACUAGGAUCACUAAUGGGGAUCUCCACUGUCAUCGCUGCUUUAAGCAGCUCUUGGCUUCAGUGCCCUGUGGGGGGUGUAGUUAUGCCAAGUACUGCAGCAAGAAGUGUGCACAGCUGGCAUGGGAGCACUAUCACAGUACAGAGUGUCCAUUAGGGGCACUGCUGCUCACACUAGGGGUCUUCUCCCAUGUUGCCUUAAGGACUGUUCUAGUGGCUGGAUUUGCAGAGGUUAGCAGCUUAGUGAAGCAGUUUCAUGGAGACGACAAGGAACUUUACAAGACUGAAGCCAGAGGUAAGAGUCUGGAUGAGACACUAGAUUCCACAGCUGGCAUGGAGGGUCUCUCUGAGAAAGCAAAGUCUUUGAUUCCUGGUUGUGAGGAUGAUGGACAGUACCAGGGUUCUUACCAAGCUGUCUUCAACCUUUUGACCCAUGCUGAAAAGCACAGCCCUGAACACAAGUUCCUUUGCAGUCUGAGCAUAGUAGCCAUAUGCAAGAAACUGCUAGACACAGAUCUGACCAUUUUGAGUCAGGAGUCAUGUGAGAGCCAGUCCAAACUGAGAGCACAUGUGAAGAUGUCUGCUGAAUUGUCUCCGGAGCUGAAGAUUCUGGGAGAAGCAAUGCUGAGGCAUAUGUUGCAGCUGCAAUGUAAUGCUCAAGCAGUGACUGCAAUCCGGGAGUCAGAGUCCGGAGACAGCAUUGUUGCAGAUAGUGAGCAGGUGUGCCUGGCCACAGCCCUCUUCCCUGUCACAAGUCUCCUGAACCAUUCCUGUGACCCUAAUACUAGUGUGACUUUCAGUGGGACUGCUGUCACAGUCAGGGCAUCGCAGCCAAUCCCAAGAGGGCAAGAGAUUUUCCAUUGCUAUGGGCCUCAUCGAUGCAGAAUGAGGGCUGCUGAGAGGCGGCAACGGCUCCUUUGUCAGUAUUUCUUUGAGUGUCGAUGCCAGGCCUGCCUGGAUGAGUUGGGGUCUGAUGUCACAGGCAUAGUAGCCACAAGGGAUAUAUUCUGCUGUUCCAGCUGCCAUGCUUCAAUGCAGGGGGAAGAUGUGCUUCGUUGUUCCAGUGGUGCUUGUACACUAUUGGUUGGCAGGGAUUACCUCCUACACCAGUUAUGGGACCUUCAGCUGCAAGUUAAAACAGCACUGGGACUUCUCCAAGACAACCAGCCCAAUCAGGCUGUUGAGCUGCUGAUGAGGUGCCAGAUGGAUGCUGAGAACUUCCUGUCUGCAGAGCACAUGCUGGUAGGCGAGAUUGAGGAUCACCUGGCACAGGGUUAUGCCACGCUUGGAAAGUGGCAGGAAGCAGCGAGGCACCUGCAGCGCAGCAUUCAAAUUGUGGAAGCUCGCCAUGGACCGUCCAGUGUGGAAACAGGUCAUGAACUCUUCAAACUGGCGCAGAUCCUCUUUAAUGGGUUUGCAGUGUCUGAAGCUCUGUGCACAAUUCAAAGAGCAGAGACGGUUUUGUCUGUGCACUGUGGCCCUCAGAAUGCCCAGGUCCAGGAACUGCAGGAGAUGAGAGCCUGUCUGCUGGAGCUGCCCAGAAGCCUCCUUCACAGAGUUGAGUGACUAACAAAGGAAGCUGCCAUGUGGCAGGGCAGCCAUGCAAACAAGGCCUGGCUACAAGCUGGGAAGCUGAAGGAACAGAGCAGCUCCGCUCGCUGCUCUGAGCCCUGGCAGCCUGCAGAGGGCCAUGCUGUGUACAUACUCAUUUCCUGCAGUGUGCUUCUAAGUGCCUCCUCAGAGCUCAGCUUCAGCCUGGGUAUGCUCAGCACAGCGUGAACUGUCUUCAGCUCCCUGUCAAUGUCACGGACAAACUCUGAGGUUUCUCACUCUCCUUGUCAUGUUUUGUAUCAUACUCACCUGCUCUGUAGCCGAGUCCUGAGAUCUGCUGGGGGAGGCUAGGAGCCCUAGCCAUAGAAGAACAAACAGAGUCUGCAUGAUGGAACCUAGAAGGGAAGAACGCAAUAGAGCUGUUUGCCCUAGUCAAUCUGCCUACUUAUUUGUUCCAGUAGCUCUAUCUACUACACCUAGCAGGAACUGCAUUUGCAUCUCUGUCUGCAGCAGGAUCCGGUGUGCACAGCUGACCAGUUGCAAAUCCUCUGCCUUUGGCUUCUUCAGCUCCAGCUGCUUUGAGCUUCUUGAGAUUGUGGCAUGCACAUUUGUGGACACAUGGGCAGGUGUGCUUGUGCCAAAAAGCAGAGGUAGAGACGUGAUGCAAAUCACACUGGCUCUCAGACAAGACACCAGACUCCAUGGCCCUGAAAGGUACUAGAUCAGAUCAGUGCACAAGAGACUCUUCUUGCUGCUUUACAUCCCAAACAUUCAAAAUGUCAAUAUACAUACAAAAGCAGCAAGUGCAACAACUAACACUGGAUGAAAUAAAAGAUAGAUAGUUAAUGGGCUACUGCUGUUGUCCUGAACAUACAUACACCCCCUGCCCAGCCUUAAUUCAAUUCCUAGCCUCAGUCUUGCUCACUGAGUCGCCCUAUCCUUGGAGGAUUACUGUCUGCAUGAGCACCUUACUAUCACUCUCACUCAGUAGCUGAUUAAAUAGCAACAUUGAUGGGCUCCAAAGGGAGUCCCACGAACUCUUCCUCACCCUAAAUGCAUACCAUAGGGUAAAGGCUAAAGCAGAGAGGAGGUAAAGGACAGGACUGGGCUUACUCAGGAUUCCUGAUAGGAAAAAAACCACCAAGCUCCUAGAGCCAGUAAUCCUGUUCUUUUUCAAAAAUCCAAUGUUAACCUCUCCAGUGUCUGCAUGGGAGGAUUCUGUACAAUGAUGUGUCUGGCCCAAAGGGUAGUGUUACCCAAACGUUCAUCCUGGGUAAAUUAGAGCUAUUGCAGGGAUGCCAUGUCCCUGAGGUCAGAUGCCACAGGGGCUGGGUGAAAGCUAUGUUUAUAUACAUUCCAAAAAAAUUAAAGGAAGGGCACUUGUAUUUAACUAACCCCUGUGAUCCAGUGCAGCCAGAGGAGUAGGAGCCUGCACAUGCGUUUCAAAUUAAAUGCAGCUCUAAAGCAAACAUGGCUGUUGGUAGAAUUGCAAACUCUUAAAGCCACGUGUCCACACAAACUCUUAAAGCCACGUGUCCACAACGACUACAAUUCAGGGACCAGCCUGUUCAGGCAGAGGAUUCCCCUAUAAGAAAAAGCUCCCACAGACCCUCUCUCCAUAAUAGCAUAAUUUGCUUUAGGAAACACGAUGUGCCUCUACAGCAUCCCUGCCAAAAGAGAUUCCUCUGUAGCAUUGUUUCUGUUUAGAGCAGACAUGAAUCUGGCUAUGCAGUCCAAUUUCACAAAACUGCAUCUAUGCUCAGACACCAUCGCCCACCCAGGAGAGCGGUAUUCUGGAUUUCUUUCCAGUGCAGAAAUAUGCUUUGAGUAGAGCUGCUGUACUGACCAAAGUAAUGUUAGGUGGCGUGAUGGUGGAUGUGAAACAGGGACUUUUCAUUCCUGUGAGAGUGAGCCUUAUGGUAGGGAUUUCUGAGCAGGCCUGCCUCCUGCGGCACACCUGAGCAGAGAGGUUCUGGCUGGAUUGCUACUGAGGGAUGCCUUCUGCAAGCAGAUUCUUCACCUGGCUUUACCACUAGCAUAAUACGAGAGGUGUGCUCUGGGCUAGGGUGUGAGACGUGGGUUUUCCCAUGAAGUGUGGUCUUGUUCUGAAAAAAAUCUCUACAAAUACUCUGCAUCCCCAACUACUCUGUGCUCCUGGGGACGCAUGAGAAAUGGAGCGUGCAUUCCCAGAUCUUAUCUUUGCCAAGAUUGUCCACACCCUCAUAUUCUACGGCUUUGCCAAGAAGUGAUUUCCAUUUUAGAAUUGACAAAGCCCUGCUGAGCUUGAAUGGGCCUGAACUCUGGAUUCUAUUUUGCAGUUAUGAUGCACACAGCCAAAACUGCAGAUAGAAAAAGUCCUUGCUGGAGCAGAGCAGGGGUGAUUUCUAGCAUGACUUUAAAAUCUAUAGCUAUGUUUAAAAAGAAAGAAAAAGAUCUAGAGCACACAGUGUGAUGUUAGACUCAGAAAGAGCAGGUUGGGAAACAAGCUGAGAAGAUACUUUCAAAGCGUGAAUUGUCCCAUCCCUAGAUCUCUGCAGCUCUAAAAUAAAACAGCAUUUCCUCCAGGCUAGAGAGUUCUGAAGGUCUCUAACUAUCCUUAAGCAUAUUUGAGUGUGGGAUAUCUCAGCCACCCCACCCAUGAGGUCUGUUUCUCUCUAUUGGGGGGGGGGGGUGUCUCAAAGCACCUCACCAAGAGGGUCUGACUAAAUUUUCUGCUAGACUUAGUUA